UUAGGGUUUAGAGUUAAAGGAUUGGGUUUAGGAUUUAGGGUUUAGGGUUUAGAUUUUAGGGUUUAGGGUUUAGAUUUUAGGGUUUAGGAUUUAGAGUUUAGGGUUUAGGGUUUAGAGUUUAGGGUUUAGGGUUUAGAAUUGAGAAAUGAGGUUUUGGGGAUAAGAUUUCAAAUUUUGAAAAAUAAAAAAAAUUAAAAUUUUCAAAGGAUAAACUUAGAAAUGUGCUAUUUUGGUCAUUUUAGUUUUUGAAUGCUAUUUUUGUGAUAUAAACUUAUAAAUGUGCUAUUUUGGAGAUUUGUCCUUUUGUUAAUUGUUAUUUUUUUUUGAACAAAUAAUUGUUAAUCUAAUGGGGCCUCCAACAAGGGAGAAUAAGCUCAAGAUAGUUCAUGAACUAAAUUAGAGCCACUCAGAAUAAACUUUAUUUUAACUUCAACUAAAUAUAAUAAAAUUGCUAGGAAUAACACACUUUUCUAACUAACCCAUAUACUAGAAAUAUAUGAUGAUUUAAUAUUGUGCUACCCAUUGUAUAUUUGUAAGAACUAUUAAUAUAUAUAUAGCGAAAGGUGAUUUAUUUUGAAUGAAACAAAUUUUGUAAAUAAACAAAAUGUAACAGAUUUAUUUUGACUACUUGCACAAAAGUACUAUAGUAGUUGUAGCCACACUUAAACUAGUGUUUGGAAAUAAUAGUUUGAUUCUUGUCCCUUCGUGAUAUCUUAAUGAUUGUGUCUGAUUAUAUUCAAUAUAGUUUGCAGCUAUUGCAUAUUUCCAAAUGCUUGCCCCUCACUGACCUAUGACCUGAAACCAAUGUUUCUAAACUCAAUUCGGACACUGAGUCAAAAUUUACCUUGUAACUAGAUUAUUGGACCGAUCGUGGAUGAACCACGAAUUACUAAAUUAAUUGAUUUUAAUAUAAUUAUAUAUUAGCUAUUAAAAAUAUAAGAGAAAUUACAUGUAUCAUAAAAAAAUAUAAUUAAUAUAAUUUUUGAUUCUUGCAGUUGCUUGAUUCGCACCAAACUUUUGGACAUAAUAAGAGCACACAUUUGGCUUGAAGCCUUAGACGGCAAUUUAAAAUUGAGUUUUGUUAAAAGGUCACGUGAAAAGAUAUCCUACGAGCUCAUAUAUACAACUCAAGUUUCACUUUUAAUAUAAAUCAAGAAUCACUAAAUGAUAUAUCAAGGGUUAUCAAGUAAAGAUUUUUUUAUGGAACAAUUAUAUUGAACAUAUUUACAAUAUGUUAAAGUAUAUUUUAUUUAUUUUCUAGUCCUCGCUCUUUAUUUUUUUGUGCCUUUUUCUUUUUAUUCCAUUCAAAUUUAUUAAGUAUUUAGUUAUUUACAAAAUAUUCCAUUUAUGAAUUUUAUAUUUUAGAACCUAUUUCAAAUUGCUUCUAUUUUAAUAUAAUUAAUUAAUUAUAUUAAUUUUAGUCAUUUAUAUAUAAUUCCAGAAAAAACAAGUUUUUGACCCCGAAAAUUAUAAUUUAGGAACUGGUAUACAACAAGAUUUUAUACAGCAAAUCCAAUCCAAGUCAAAGUGGAACCAUAAACAUUUUGUUUAUUGGGGUGAAAAUGUAAAAUCCAAAAAUACCAUGGGGUGGAGAAAUGUAACGAAAUUUAGGUGGGGUCAAACGUAAAAACAGAAACAAUACAGAACCCUCUCUGCAUUAGUUCAUAUAUUAAAGUAGCCAAGUGUAUUAUAUCAAUUCGUCAAAAGUAUUUGAUCAGAUUAUCAUAUGUGGUUAUACUUAUAAGAUACAAGUCACAACUCCCGUGAGGCCAUCAAGACUAUCGUUAAGGAGUAUAACACGCGUGGUUAGAAGAGGUCGGUGAUUUUUAUCCAUGUCUUUAGCAUAAGUCCCUCGAGGGAAUGAAUUGAGCAUAAAGACAGGCAAUGGAAGCCAAACGAUACAAUGCUGCUAUUAAAUCAUGUGCGUUGGAUAAUAACAAGCUAAUAUCAACUCUGUUUCUGUUAUUGAUCUCAAGGUUACAACAUCGAUAUUUAUGCAUACGGUAUGAUCCGUAAAGAUAGGAGAUAACUAUGAAACCUCAUAUUGUUAUGUUUAUCUAAGAAAUAAAUUCAUCUUUAUCUAAUACUCCCCCUCGAGAUGGAGAGUGAAGAUCUUGAAUGCCCAUCUUGUCCAGCAAGUAAUGUAUUUGCUGACACCCAAGUGAUUUUGUCAUUAUGUCAGCUAACUGUUCCAUAGUACCAAUAUGUUGUGCAGCGAUGAUUCCAGCUAUAAUGUAGUCACGAACAAAAUGAAAAUCCACCUCAACAUGCUUAGUACGCUCAUGGAACACCGGAUUCAUUGCUAUAUGAAUAGCUGCCUUACUGUCACAAUGAAAAGGUAUCGGAAACUGUUGUCUUAUCCCCAAAGAGUCCAUAACACCAAUCAUCCAUUUCAGUUCACUGCAUGUCAUUGCCAUAGCUCUGUAUUCAGCUUCUGCUGAGGACCUUGAGGCUGUUGGUUGCUUCUUUGUCUUCCAUGAAACCAGAGAAUUGCCCAUCAUGACAAUAUAACCAGUAAGCGACCGACGAGUAAGUGGGCAAGCAGCCCAGUCCGAGUCACUAAAUGCAGACAACGCAAGAUCACUAGUAGCACUUAAUAAUAUUCCUUGACCUGGAAGUCCCUUUAAGUAUCGUACCAAACGGACCGCUGCAUCCCAGUGUUUUUGACGUGGCUUGUGAAGAAACUGAGCCAGUAUAUGCACUGGAUAAUUCAGCUCCGGUCGUGUGAUAGCAAGGUAAACUAGCCUCCCAACAAGUUUUCGAUACUGUGCCGGUUCUGUGUAAAACGGUCCAUUAUCACGCCCCAGAUUAUGAUACUACUCCAUUGGUGUGUCCACCGGUUUAGAGCCAAGAAGUCCACACUCUGAUACAAUGUCAAGCGCAUAUUUACGCUGUGACAAAUAGAUACCCUCUUUGCUUCGUAGAACUUCAAUAUCCAAAAAAUAGCGAAGCUCUCCCAAGUCUUUCAUAUGUAAAGAGCGAUGUAAAUGCUCUUUGAACUUCGAGAUGAGCGCUGAGUUAUCACCACCAAUAAUUAGAUCAUCAACGUACACUAACACAAACAGAGUAGUAUUAUUUCUGUGAAGUGUAAAUAGAGAGUAAUCCAGACGGUUCUGUUUGAAGCCAAACUCAAGUAAAGCUUUAGUUAAUUUGGAGAACCAGCACCUAGGAGCCUGCUUAAGGCCAUAAAGAGCCUUAUUCAACUUACACACUUGAUUCGGUUUAGAGGAGACAAAGCCAGGAGGCAAUUUCAUAUAAACCUCUUCUUCAAGAUCACCAUGAAGGAAGGCAUUAUGCACAUCCAUCUGGUGUAGUUCCCAAUUCCGAGCAGCAGAGAUUCCAAGCAACAGGUGCAAACGUUUCAUUGUAGUCGACACCUUCUUCUUGUUUAUUUCCACACGCUACCAAGCGAGCCUUAUAUCGUUCAAUUGUUCCAUCCGCAUUAAUUUUUUUUAAAGAUCCACUGACAUCCAAUGGCAUGUUUACCAGGAGGUAAAUCAGUUACUGUCCACGUACCACUGCUUUCCAGAGCAUCCACUUCACUAGUCGCUGCAUUCCUCCAUUUUUCAUUUUUCAUAGCCUCUUUAAAUGAAGUUGGUUCCAUCUGAGAUUCAACGUUGAGGAGAAACGCCUGAACAUGUGGAGCAAGGCGAUGAAAGGAAACAUAGUUAUCCAAGGGAUAUGCACACUUACCUGAAGACAAUGACGGUGUAUUUGUUGAGUGAACAGCGGUUGCGGGGUUUUCAUUGACUUGAGCUGUAUUCGUAACAUAUGGACCUAAGCGAACAGAUUGUUUCUUAGUCCUGUGUCCUCUGCCUAAUUGUUCAGAUUCCGGUUGCUCUGUUGUAGUAGUCUCAGUUUCAGUGCUAGCUCUCCCUUUGUCAUUAUCAUUAGAAGUCGGUGGAGAUGAUGUUUCAUUAUUAGUGGCCGAUACACUGGUACUGUGUUGAUCAGAGUUCAAAACUCCCCCUGUCUCCAAUACUGCAGGUGUGAAGACAGGAUCAAAAUCAUCAUCAUAUGUUGCCGGAUGUGGUGGAGAGACCGGUACAGAUUCUGUAGUUUCAGACCCUGAGCUGGCAAGAGAAAAUGGAAAUAUUUCCUCAUGAAAGAUGACAUCUCGUGAAUCAAAUAUGCGUUCUGUUUCGAGAUCACAGACUGUCCAUCCUUUCUUUCCCAUAGGAUAUCCAAGAAAUACACAUCUAGUACUUCUUUCAUCAAACUUGUCUCGUCCAUGAGAUAGUGUGCGUGCAUAACACAGUGUACCAAAUACUCAAAGAUUGUCAUAAGACGGUGCUUUACCAUAGAGCAUCUCAUACGGUGUCUUAUUCUGUAGCAGCCGUGAUGGUGUUCGGUUAAUCAGAUAUGUUGCAGUCAGUAUACCUUCUCCCCAAAAACGUUUUGGUACAUGUCCUUGAAAGAGAAGUGCUCUAGCAAUGUUGAGAAUGUGUCUAUGUUUUCUCUCCACUCGUCCAUUUUGUUGUGGAGUCUCUACACAUGAAGUCUGAUGAAGAAUUCCUUUGGACACAAAAUAAUCCUUAAGACAUAUAAACUCGGUUCCAUUAUCAGUAUGAACCAUCUUUAUUUUCUUGUUGAAUUGUCGAUCAACAUAGGCACAAAACGUCUUAAGGGCUUGUGGUGCCUCCUUCUUUUCUAAUAAGAGUAUAGUCCAUACGGCUCUAGAGAAAUCAUUCACUAUAGUUAGAAAAUAACGUGCUCCAGUUGUUGAUGGUUCUCGAUAUGGUCCCCAUAAAUCACAGUGUAUCAAAGAAAAACAAUCAUCAACUUUAUUAAUGCUAACUGGAAAGACAUGUCGAGUUUGUUUAGCUUGAUGACAGAUACCACAAGAAUUCUCUAAAACACCAAUAUUUUUAGUAAAACCAGCAACUGAUGACAAAACAGAAAGAACAGCAGAUGACAGAUGACCCAUGCGUGUGUGCCACAAAUCUUGUGUCUGAAAUGCUUCCACAUGAUUUGUUUGAACAGCAACGGUUCCCAUAUACUUGAAAACCCCAUUAUGCUCUUCACCCGCACCAAUCAAAGUCUUCGAGGCGAGGUCCUGUAUCACACAAAACUUUUUAGUAAAUAGGAUAAAUCCAUCAAUAUCUUGCAGUAGCUGAGAUAUAGAUAUGAGUGUUGCAGAGAGAUGUGGAGCGUAGAGAACAUGUCUCAGUAUGAGACGACCACCAAGAUUCAGUUGACCUCAUCGUGUGGCCCAAGUAACACUACCUUCUGGCAUUCUAAUCGAAACUGGUGAGAUUGUUAUAACAUCACUAAGCAGAUUAAUCUCUCCAGUCAUAUGGUGAGAAGCACCAGAGUCAUAUUGAUAUCGUAUCUACUGUCUUUUCCAAAAAAAACAAGUUUGUCUUUCUUACCAAGCUUCUCACUGUUGUUUGAUUUUUGUGAAUUCACAAACUGAGUCAAGGUUGCCCAUUGUUCAUUUGUGAAGUUUGGAAUCCCUUGAGUCUGCUGCAGCUCUUGUGCUCCAGGCGUGUCAGCCUGAGUGUUGUAUGCACGAAAUCCAGUUCCACGACCACGUCCUCUGCCUCCUUGUGAGUCAGAUCCUUUGCCUCGCCCUCCUUUAUCCAUCCCUCGACCUGCUGCAGGUUUUGCAUUCUUAUCCCACCACUCUGGAUAUCCGAUGACUUCAAAGCAUUGACUUACUUCAUGUCCCUGCUUUCCACAGUGGGAACAAACCGAGUUGUUUCUUGCAAACCUAACUGCUGCAGCUUGAGCAUUGGUCAUGAUUUGUUGACUUGACGACACAGAGGAAGCCUGUGUUACUGCAGACAGACCCAUCGUUGGUGUUCUUUCUUCAUGCCUCAUGACAUUCAGAUGUCGUUCUUCUUGAAUUGUUUGUGAAUAAACUGACUCAAGAUUGAGAUCAGUUUGUCUACUCAGCAAGUUUGAACGUGUUGUUCCAAACCGUGAGGUAUCCAACCCCAUAAGGAAUUGAUGCACUCUUAACUUUUCUUCUUUCUUUUCAUACUUCAACAUCACUGCACAUUCUGAAUCUCCACAGCAGCAUGUGAAUCCCUUAUCAAAGUCAGCUUGAUCAUCCCACAAAACUUUUAAUCUCCCAAAGUAAACUUCCACUGUAUCUCCAUUCUGUUUACAUGAUGCAAUGUCAGCAUGUAACUGAUGAAUUCUGGUAUCAUCGCUUACUGAGAACCUCCGUUGUAGACCUCCCCACAUCACCUUGGCGCUGUCAACAAGCAGUUUUGGGUCAACACUACUAUAGAUCCACUCGAUAAUCAUGGCAUUGACCAUGUCCCACUUUUCUUCAUCUUCUGGUUUGUCAAUCGGUCUUUUAAGGGUUCCAUCAACAAAACCUAUUUUUCGCUUUGCUCUAAGCGAGUUGAGCAUCAAUUUUGCCCACCGCUCAUAGUUUGCUCCAUUCAGAAGAAUGGGUGUCUGCACUUGCCCUGUAUUAUCUGACGGAUGUAGAUAAUAUGGAGAGAUAAGAGAAUUCUUGUUGCCUUCGGUAGCUUUUGGUGACUCCAUGCUAGUAGAUGACGAUCAAUAUCUCACCGUAACAAUAUGUUUUGGUGGUUCGUAUUAGCUUUGUAAAAAAAUUAGUUGCCUUGCUCUGAUACCAUAACAAGCUAAUAUCAACUCUGUUUCUGUUAUUGAUCUCAAGGUUACAACAUCGAUAUUUAUGCAUACGGUAUAAUCCGUAAAGAUAGGAGAUAACUAUGAAACCUCAUAUUGUUAUGUUUAUCUAAGAUAUAAAUUCAUCUUUAUCUAAUAGAUAAGGACAUAAAUUGAUUAUAGGACAUGGUGAUCUCACUGAAAUAGGACAAAGAAGGACUAACUUGAGUGGAUGACAAAAGCAAAGGUUUCAGUUGGCCCGCCUAUGCAGAAUUUCUGAUGAAACCAUUCCUUUUGCGUGUAGGCUCUCGAGAAGUGUCGGCUCAAGACAACGAUCAGCAAUCUGCCUAACAAAACUUGAUUCUUCGGGUAUAUGAAACGCAGUGAUGUUUUCUGUUUACAAGAUUUCGGUUUAGCCUUAUGUUUGUCGUUUUGGUGUACGAGAAGUGAGUGAGGAAGGAGAGAACUAGAGGGUGGGACAGAGACAGUUCUGUCUAGGAAGAGUGUUGUUGAAGAGAAUCAAAAUAUUUGGGUUAGAUGAAGCUACGACUUCUAUUUGAUUCAGGCUCAUGAGAACCAAUGGUUUUUCUGGUUUGUUUUCUGAACAGGUGAUCUUGUGGAUUACAACGAGCCUUGAAAGCUGAUGGAGACAUAUUCUAAUUACUUUUCUAAGCUCGUUGAUGAGUAUUGAGCAAAGUUGGAUAAGACAUUCUUCUCUGAAUUUUCAAGUCCACAUCUAAAUUUUUGCAAGUCUACUUGUAUCAGCUGCUACUUAAACAUAAACGUUAACUAACAAAAAUGAACAAUUUUUUUAAAAGAAAUCAAAAUUUUAAAGGAAAAUUAUUAUUUUUUAAAUAAUCAUGUAUGUGAAAAUAAAAUAAAAUUCAAUACAAAAAUAAAAAGUAAAUAAUUAACAAAUGUAAAAUUAUCUUAAAGUUUAAGUUGAUAUUUAUACUAAGUUACUGAAAACUUAACACAAAAAGAGUUUAACAAGAAAAAACAAAAUUAUGACCACAACUGUUUUAUACAAUAGAGGCUAUAUGCUAUUAUAAUAUUCACAUAUAAUUCAAAAAUAUCAAAUAUGUAACCUUGACAUCAUAGUUUAAUAUUUUUAAAAAUCUUUAUUUCCAAAACAAAUCUAUCAAAAUAAAUUUUAAAAUAUCAACUAAUAUAAACAAAUAAAAGGAGAAUAGAAAGGGACUAACUUAAUAUAUAUGCUAACUCUUUCGAAAUUAACAUAAAAAUAUUGAUAAAAGUUAUGUAGUAAAGUAUGUCAAGACAUACAAAUAGCAUUUAUAAAUAAAAUAGAUAAUUAAUACAAAAUAGUUAAUCUAAUCAAAUAAAUAAUUAAUUAUAAACUGAAAUUGAGUAUUUAAAAUUUUCUUAUUUAUAUUGAUGUCGGCUAUAAAAUCAUCUAAAUUAAUAGGUUACACAAGUUUUUUAAGAAAAAAAGUUGAUUUUGGUUCUUUUUUAUCGAGUUAGUUAAUUCUUUGGCUUACAAUAAGUUUACAAAUAUUUAUAAAAAAUAAAUGAUGGUAAAAUUAAUUCACUUGUUGAGACACAUAUUGUUAAUUAGGCUAUUUAUUUAUGCGUUUUCAAACUGCCUUUUAUCGAUCAAAUGAAUUAACAUAUUUAUUUACUCAUCAACAAUUAAAAUUUUAAUAACACUACUUUAUCAUGUUUUGAUACAAAUGUUUUUAGAAAGUUAUAAUCCAAAUUUUAAUUAAACUAAUCAAAUUGGUUUUGAUGAAACAAACCUAAAGAUUUUUCUAAUCUACAAGAGUUUUAUAAAAUAAAAUCAUUAACAAUAAAACAAAAUAUACAUGGUGCCUCUUCGUACAUCUUUAAUUUAAUUCACCAAUAAAAGUGAUACUUAUGAAACUUUAUUAAAGCAAUCAACAUAACAUAUAAAAUUGAAACUGUGCUAACGAGAGUUUUGUAAAAGAAAGAUAUAUGAAAAAUAAUGUUAAUAAAAUAUAAGAGCAAUGUUAAUAAAAUAUAUUAAAACAUAGAAAAUCUGUAGCGGUCCACCCAAAAAUUAGUAAUUUUUUUUUUAUGAAAUGUGAAAUUUAUUGAUCAAUGUAGAAAAAAUAUGGAUUUACAUCAGGCUAUGAAUGCUAUAGAAGAAACUAUACAAUGUUGUAAAGAAUGAAUUUUAAGCUUUUAUCUGCUAAGCUGUAAUUUCAGACCACCGAUGCAUCAAGCUUGCGACUUGUGGUUAGCCUUGUAUCGAAGAAAAGUGAUCCUAUUUUGCAUAGCCUUAUCAAUGAUCCGUACCACUUGAUCAACCGUCCGAAAACCUUUAUGAUGUCUUCUCUCAUUCCUCUCCUACCAUAGAUGAUAGAUACUACUCUGAAAAACCAUUUUAAGCAAGAUAUUGUCCAUGAUUUGAAGAGAAUUUUCAUUCACAAACUGCAGUGUGAUCCAGUCUGGAUCAGUCCUAUCUGCACUCGGGUGAUUCGCGAGCUUGUCUCAUACUGUAAAGGAGUAUGGGCAAGCCAAGAAAACGUGAUCCCUAGUCUCUGUUUCUACACACAAGACAAAACUCUGUUCAAUAACACAAGCUCUCAUUGUAUCUCCUAUUGAAAGUCUAUUUUUAACUACCAACCAAACUAUAAAAGAGAACCGCGGUACCGCCUGAGAAAACCAUACACUUUUACUCCAAAAGACAAUAGCCUUUUUCACCCUGAUUUGAUCCAAAAGUCCUGGCUGAUGAAAAACAAGUUUUAUAUGUAUCUUCUGAAUGCUUCCAAAGCACCACAUCGCUGCCAAAAGAGUCAUUGGGGGCUUGCUCAUUCUGAAUCCGGUCAUGAAGGGCAUGGAAGUGGGGCUUCUGCGACCUCUAAUAUUCUAGUUUGAGUCCAGAACUGCAUCUCUUACUCGCGCAUUACAAGCCACUCCAAGAUAACAUGUGCCCACAGCACCAGUGAUAUCUAUAACUUUAUCCAUUUUUAACCAAUCAUCAAACCAAAGUAGGCGGUAUGGCCACCAUUUACCUCGUACCGAAUGGCCACCAUUUACCUCGUACCGAAUGAACUGAUACACAAGAGGUCUCAACUUCAAGAGUUUCCUCCAUACUCAAGAUCUUUUCCAUCUUCAUUGACAUCCCAAAAAGAAUUCUGACUCAGAAAAUACUGUUGAAUCCAACAGACCCACAAGGAGUUUUUAAACGAAUUUUUUUUUACAAAUUAAACUCAUAGCAAACACCAUGGAAGAGUCACGAAGCUUUCGUAUUCCAAGCCCACCUUCAUCUUUAGGAUAACAAAGAUCGUCCCAUGCCACCUUGGCUUUGCGAGUCUGAUUUGGAGAGCCAGACCACAAUAAAGCACUACACAUACUUUCAAUCUCAUCCAUACAAGCUUUAGGGAGAAUGAAAGCCUGACUCCAAAAGUUUACAAUACUGGAGAUAACAUACUUGAUCAGUUGUAGACGACAUGCAUAUGAUAUACACUUAUUCCGCCAAGUAAACAUUCUUUGUCUUACUCUGUCUAUUAAAGGUUCAUAGUCUUGCUUUGUAAGGGCCUUAGUAGUAAGACGUAUACCCAGAUACCUAACCGGCAGAGUUCCCACCUUGAUUCCCAUACAAUCAGCCUCAUGAAUCAACGGGGCUAUACUCUGACCUGCAGCAAAGAUGGAGGAUUUAGAAGCGUUUAUGUGAAGUCCUGAUAUGCUAGCAAACUGAUCCAUUACCUCCAGUACCCAUCUUAAGGAACUGAUUGAACCAUCGGUAAACACUAGUAUGUCAUCGGCAAAACUGAGAUGCGUGAGCUGCACUUCUCUACACUGCGGCUGAUAAGCAAACUGAUGAGCUGCAGCCGCAUUAUUCAACAUCUUAGACAAGAUAUUGUUCAAAAUAACGUAGAGAUAUGGCAACAGGGAGCAUCCUUGACGAAUUUCUCUUGUAUUCUUGCAUCACAAAUGAGCAGAAAUUACUAAUUUUUUAUUAAUAUUUAAAGAUAAUAUUGACAUUACAAUCGUUGGUAAAUUGAUAUUUAUUAAUAUUUGAGUAAUAUAAGCAGGAGGGACUCGUAGAUCCUCUAGAGGUAGAGCAUCAAGGUUCAGAAACAACAGAAAAAGAUAUGAAAAAUAUUAAUUAUACAUUAAUCAGUUAGAGACUAUAUUAUCCGAGAAUAUUAAUAAAUAAACUAAAAAAAAUGAAAUUUUGGUAAACUAAUAAUUAGGCCAGAAAACAUGUGAACUAAUAAAAGGUAAUAGUCAAGAAAUUAAUUUAUAUAGUAACUAGAUUAAGUAGAAGAUAUAUCUAAUAUUAUAGAUUUUACAUAUUCUUAUUUUAAUAAAAAAUAUUACUAAACAAUAGUUAAAUUUGUAUAUAUUUAUUUCCCCUUUUCUUAUAUCUAACCAAAAAUAUUUAAAAUUAUUUAAAUAUUUAAUAUGAUAAUGACCUAAAUCUAAAUAUUAUACUAUCAGAUUUACCUUUAAAAGAAUUAUAUAAGAAUAUUUCAAAUACAUAUAUGCAUAAAAUAAGAAUAUAAUAUUGAUAAUUACAUUGUAAAAUUUGGUAAAUACAAUGAAAAGUUAGAAUUGUGCAUAUGAAGUAAUAUGUAUCAAACAAUCUAUAUAAUGUUUAAAAAGAUAUAUAUAUAUAUAUAUAUGUAUAUAAUUAAAUAAACAAUAUAAGUAUGUUUAUAAAUACUGGGAUAUAUUUACUUAUACAAACAAAGAGAUCUGAAUACUAGUUAUUUAAAGAAUGUAAUUGUAUAAAAUAUAAUAGGAAAAAACAAUAAAUCAGACUUUGGAUACAAUUUUAUAGAAAAUGUAUAUAAGUCAUUUAUAUAUUAUUAUUUUAAAAUUAAGAUAAAAUUAAACUAGCUAGUAAUAUAAACUCGCGUGUAAAAUUUCUAUCCUCCUAAAUAUUUAAUGAGAAGUCACUUAAGUAACUUUUGCCUAGGUGUCAAUCAUAGAGAGAGUUUAAGAAAAUGGUUAUAAUUUGAUUGGUUGAAGUAUAUUCAAUUUUUAAUAUAACUUACCAAAUAGUCUAAAUGAUAUUAUAAAUAAUAAUUUAUGGUAACAAACUGUCAAAAUUAUAGAAAGUGUAAUAAUAUUUGAUUAAUUCUUUUUAUAUUUAUAUACUGCAUAAUAUAAUUAAUUGAAUACAAUUUCUAGAAAUCUAUAUAAUGAUUUCAUAUUCAUAUAUAAAACAUUAUAUUUAUAUUAAAAUAAUUAUUAUAAUUAUUAAUUUCUUAUAAUGUCUGUAUAUGUCUUAUAAGUCAUUUAUAAGAAAAUAAAGAAUUUAUGAAAUUACCUAUCAUGGCUUACAAAAUUAGCUUAUCUUAAUUUUAAAUUAUUAUAUGAGUUUUUAAAAAAUUUAUAAAAAAUAAAAAUUCUCCGAUAUAUUAAAAUAGAAGUCACUUAAGUGAAUUUUGCUUACAUAUCGAUCAUUUGGGCAGUCUUAAGAAUUUUUUUUAUAAUUUGCUGGGUCGAUAAUUUUUAAUUUUAUUUUUUUUAUUUUAGAUUUAAGAUAGAAAAAUCUAAAUCCAAUUAAUAUCACUUGCCAAAAAUCUAAAUUAUCCUAUAUAUUAAAUGAGAAGACACUUAAGUGACUUUUGCUUAGGUGUCAAUCAUAGAGAGAGUUUAAGAAAAUUGUUAUAAUUUGAUUGGUUGAAGUAUAUUCAAUUUAUAAUUAUUUUAAUUAGAUCUAAAAUAAAAGGUAAGUCUAGAACCAAUUAAUAUAACUUAUCAAAUAGUCUAAUAAUAUUACAAAUAAUAAUUUAUGGUAACUAAUUGUCAAAAUUGUAUAAAGUGUAAUAAUAUUCGAUUGAUUCUUUUUAUAUUUAUAUACUACAUAAUAUAAUUAAUUGAAUACAAUUUCUAGAAAUCGAUAUAAUGAUUUCAUAUUCUUAUAUAAAACAUUAUAUUUAUAUAAAAAAUUAUAAUAAUUAUUAAUGUAUUAUAAUGUCCAUAUAUGUCUUAUAAGUCAUUUAUAAAAAAAUAAAGCAUAUAUAAAAUUAUCUAUCAUGGCUUACAAAAUUAUUUUAUCUUAAUUUUAAAUUAUUAUAUGAGUUUAUAAAACAUUUAAAAAAAAUAAAAAUUCUUCUAUAUAUUAAAAUAGAAGCCACUUAAGUAAAUUUUGCUUACAUGUCGAUCAUUUGUACAGUCUUAAGAAUUUUUUUAUAAUUUGCUUGGUCGAUAAUUUUUAAUUUUAUUUGUUUAUUUUAGAUUUAAAAUAAAAAAAUCUAGAUCCAAUUACUAUCACUUGCCAAAAAUCUAAAUUAUAUUACAAAUACUGAUUUACGGUAAGUACUUGUUGAAAUUAUAUAAAGAAUAUUAACGCUUGAUUACUUAUUUUUUAUAUUUAUAAACUACAUAAUAUAAUGAACGGAACUUUUAUUAUUUUAAUUAUAUCUAAAAUAAAACAUAAGUCUAAUACUAAUUACUAUCACUUGCCAAAUAACCCAAAUGAUAUUAAAAAUAAUAAUUAAUGGUAGCUAAUAUUCAAAAAUAAAGAAAGUGUAAUAAUUUUUGAUCAAUUAUUUUUAUAUUUAAACACUACAUAAAAUAAUGAAUAUAAAACAAUUUAUAGAAAUCGAUAUAACGAUUUCAUAUUCAUAUAGAAAUAUAGUCGUAUCUAUAAUAAUUACUAAUCUCUUAUAAUGUCAAUAUAUUCUUUAUAAAUAAUUAGCCGUUUAAGAUUGGAAGGAUUAUAUUAACGGAUCAUGUGAGAAUUUUGAUUAAAAAAUGUUUUGCAUUUAAGUCAAAUAAUAUAGUGAAUAAGUUAAUAUUAUGACCGAAAAGAAUUCUAAGAUGGAUUUUUGUUUCGUUGAUUGUAUGUUUUGUAUUACUAUUUAGAGAGAAAAAAUAAAUAUUUGGCAAAAUUAUGUAAAAAAUUAGGAAAACAUUAGCAAAAUUUUUAUAAAAAAAACGAAAUGAUAACGAAAAAAAUAAGAAGAGGCCGAAGAAGAUGCAUAAUAUAUGUUGGAGAAGUUAAUGUGAUAAUUACAUGGGAAAUUGCCAAAAAUAUUAUUUUCAAAGUACCACUUUUUAUGUUUACACUAACCAAUUUUACCUUCAUCUUUAAUGAAGAGUAAAAGACAUUUAUAACCUUUUGAUUAACUUUGACAAAAAAAAACAUAAGGUUAAGUAAUCUAAACUUAAAACAUCAACUCUAAACCCUAAAUCAUCAACUCUAAACCCUAAACCAUGAAACAUCAACUCUAAACCCUAAACCCCGAAACAUCAACUCUAAACCCUAAACCAUAAACCCUAAACCUUCAAAUCUAAACCCUAAAACAUCAGUUCUAAACCUAAACGUAAACCCUAGACCCUAAAUCUAAACUAAAAACAUCAACUUUAAACCCUAAAUCAUCAACUGUAAACCCUAAACCAUAAAACAUCAACUAUAAACCCUAAACCCCGAAACAUCAAUUCUAAACCCUAAACCUUCAAAUCUAAACCCUACAACAUCAAUUCUAAACCCUAAACGUAAACCCUAAACCCUAAUUAAAAAAUGUUUUGCAUUUAAGUCAAAUAAUAUAGUGAAUAAGUUAAUAUUAUGACCGAAAAGAAUUCUAAGAUGGAUUUUUGUUUCGUUGAUUGUAUGUUUUGUAUUACUAUUUAGAGAGAAAAAAUAAAUAUUUGGCAAAAUUAUGUAAAAAAUUAGGAAAACAUUAGCAAAAUUUUUAUAAAAAAAACGAAAUGAUAACGAAAAAAAUAAGAAGAGGCCGAAGAAGAUGCAUAAUAUAUGUUGGAGAAGUUAAUGUGAUAAUUACAUGGGAAAUUGCCAAAAAUAUUAUUUUCAAAGUACCACUUUUUAUGUUUACACUAACCAAUUUUACCUUCAUCUUUAAUGAAGAGUAAAAGACAUUUAUAACCUUUUGAUUAACUUUGACAAAAAAAAACAUAAGGUUAAGUAAUCUAAACUUAAAACAUCAACUCUAAACCCUAAAUCAUCAACUCUAAACCCUAAACCAUGAAACAUCAACUCUAAACCCUAAACCCCGAAACAUCAACUCUAAACCCUAAACCAUAAACCCUAAACCUUCAAAUCUAAACCCUAAAACAUCAGUUCUAAACCUAAACGUAAACCCUAGACCCUAAAUCUAAACUAAAAACAUCAACUUUAAACCCUAAAUCAUCAACUGUAAACCCUAAACCAUAAAACAUCAACUAUAAACCCUAAACCCCGAAACAUCAAUUCUAAACCCUAAACCUUCAAAUCUAAACCCUACAACAUCAAUUCUAAACCCUAAACGUAAACCCUAAACCCUAAUAUUUUUCAGAAAUUCGAACCCUAAACCCUAAAACACUAAACCUUCAAAUCUAAACCCUAAAACAUCAACUCUAAACCCUAAACGUAAACCCUAAACCCUAAAACCCUAAAACCCUAAACCUUCAAAUCUAAACCCUAAAACAUCAGCUCUAGGGUUUUAGGGUUUAGGGUUUAGGGUAUAGGAUUUAGGGCUUAGGUUUGAAGGUUUAUGGUUUAGGGUUUAGAGUUGAUAUUUUAAGGUUUAGGGUUAAUUUUUAGGGUUUAGGGUUUAGAGUUUACUUUUUAGGGUUUAGUGUUGAUAGUGUAGGGUUUAGUGUUGAUGGUUUAGGGUUUAGAGUUGAAGUUUAGGGCUUAGAGUUGAUGUUUUAGGGUUUAUAGUUGAAGGUUAAGGGUUUAGGGUUUAGAGUUGAUGUCUCGGGGUUUAGGGUUUAGAGUUGAUGUCUUGGGGUUUAGGGCUUAGAGUUCAAAA
Molecule: long non-coding RNA, 15284 nt
Filed under: Brassica napus (rape)
Lineage: Eukaryota; Viridiplantae; Streptophyta; Magnoliopsida; Brassicales; Brassicaceae
Description: long non-coding RNA (BNAP_LNC010282)
Source: RNAcentral